Molecule: RNA transcript, 2348 nt
Organism: Hippocampus comes (tiger tail seahorse)
Lineage: Eukaryota; Metazoa; Chordata; Actinopteri; Syngnathiformes; Syngnathidae
Gene name: endophilin-B1-like
Exons: 10
Source: RefSeq, a predicted model, not a curated record
UCUUGGUGUCGUAUCAUCUUGGUUGCAUUCAACAGCUGGGUGGAACUCCCGACAAAAACUUGCUUCAGUGACGUUUUCAAAAGAGAUGGAAAUUGGACCGCUUUGAAAUAACCCUUCCGUAGCAUCAAGACUCACUUCUCCUCGUUGUCAUGGAUUUUAAUGUCAAGCGGCUAGCUGCAGACGCGGGUACCUUCCUAAGUCGUGCUGUGCAAUUCACAGAAGAGAAGUUUGGCCAGGCUGAGAAGACAGAAUUGGAUGCCCAUUUGGAGAAUCUUUUGGUAAGAGCUGAGACCACCAAGCAAUGGACAGAAAAAAUCAUGAAGCAGACCGAAGUCUUAUUACAACCCAACCCAAAUGUCCGACUUGAGGAAUUUGUGUACGAGAAACUGGAAAAAAAGGCUCCAACGCGAAUGAACAACCAUGAACUGUUGGGCCAGUCCAUGAUUGACUCAGGAAAUGAAUUUGGUCCCGGGACUGCUUAUGGAAAUGCUUUGAUAAAAUGUGGCGAGACCCAGAAGCAAAUCGGCGGUGCAGAGCGAGAGUUAAUUCAAAGUUCUGCCAUCAAUUUCCUGACCCCUUUCAGGAACUUUCUGGAGGGGGACUUCAAAACAAUCCUGAAAGAACGAAAGCUGCUGCAGGUCAAGCGUUUGGAUCUGGAUGCAGCCAAAACGAGACUCAAGAAGGCCCGCAUGGCUGAUGCUCGAGCUGCUGCUGAACAGGAGUUAAGGAUGACUCAGAGUGAAUUUGACCGUCAGGCUGAGAUCACGCGACUGCUGCUCGAAGGCGUCAGCAGCACCCAUGCACACCACCUACGUUGUUUGAAUGAUUUUGUGGAGGCUCAGACGACCUACUAUGCGCAAUGUUACCAGUAUAUGGUGGAUCUGCAAAAGCAGUUGGGAAGUUUUCCUUCGUCAUUCUCCAAUAACAACCAGUCGUCAGUUACGGAAGGGGCCAGCAUUUCAGUGCCCACCAUACCAGUGUCGGCCUCCCUGCCCACCUCUUCCAGCCGUGGCGGCGCAGCCACCUCCGGUGGCUUCAGCGAAUUGCGUAUCUCCAGUGGCAGCCGCAAAGCGAGGGUCCUUUACGACUACGACGCGGCGAGCAGCAGUGAACUUUCCCUGCUGGCUGAUGAGGUUAUCACAGUCAGCAGCGUGCCAGGCAUGGAUUCAGACUGGCUCAUGGGAGAGCGAGGCAGCCAGAAGGGCAAAGUACCAAUCACCUACCUGGAAUUACUUAACUGAAACUUGCAAAUAGCAUCUUCAGUCGUGAGCUUAUGCUGCCAUGUCAGCCCUCUUCCAUUCUGUUUUUAUUUUUUAUAAUAUAUAAAAAGUCAGGCUCCAUUUUUAGUGAGGACACCUGAACUCGAAGCUGGAAUCAGCUCGUUCAAGUGAACGAGGGGGGAAAUGGAGUUGAUAUUUUUGCAUGCAACUGCCUUACAUUUCAUUUUUUUUUUUUUAAGUUGCCUCUCUUCCAUGCCUUUGUAUUUGAUAUUAAGCAAUUUGCAAUGGGUGCCAGAACACCUUCCAAAGUUUUCCAUGCAUUUCUUUUUGUUUACAUAAUAUAAAUAUCUAUAUACAGUAUACACAUCUCAGUUGCCUAAGCCUGUAAGUUUGGAGUCUCUCUCUACUUUGUUCACUGCUACCGUAAAGUAAUUUUUUUUUUCCCUUAACACUUCAUCCUGAAAACCAGGGUGAUGCUCGUUCAGAAUUGGUUUGACCAUAAUGAGAUAUUGUAUUUAAGUUUAUGAAAUAGCAGUUGGCAACAGCUUUGUGAAGUUUGGCACAAGCUAUGUGAGCACUUGGAACUUUUAAGUGCCAGAUGAAAUUAGUCGGGAACGAAAUCAGUUUUAUUCCAAACAAAUUGCCAAACAUUUUCAACAACUUUUAGUUUUUGUCCAAAUCCAACAGUAUUGAGAUUGGCAAUUUGUUCUACAUUUUAGCCUCGACUCCUGUUACUUGAUAUUUAUUGCUAAUUGGAAAACUCACAUCUUGAAAACUCAAAAGAUGUGAACAUCAAAAUGUUCACAUUUUUGUAGGGAUUUGUCAACCCAUGGCUACUUUAUGAGAUUAAGUUAUUUGCUGGGUGUAUAGUUGGCAAAUGAUAGUUUUAUCGUAUGGCACGUUGAUCAAUAUGCUAUCUUUGAUAUCUUCUGAUAUGAUGAUAUCAUCUGAUAUGAUGGGUGUGGCAUGGCUAACACAUCAUCCUUCCCCAACUGCAUCUCGUCAUGAAUAUGUUGUCUUUACAGUGUGGAAGCUUUAAGUAUGCCAUGACACAUGUGCUAUUUGUUUGAUAAGAUUUGUAAAGUGAAUGCAUUAAAAAUUAAUAAUUAAAAAAGGAGGCCAUUUUUA